This 253-nucleotide ribosomal RNA is filed under the name uncultured bacterium. Its description in RNAcentral is "partial 16S ribosomal RNA". It matches the Rfam family "Bacterial small subunit ribosomal RNA", at positions 524 to 776 of the family's 1533-position model. The record is from RNAcentral.
CACGUAGGGCGCAAGCGUUGUCCGGAAUUAUUGGGCGUAAAGGGCUCGUAGGCGGUCUGUUGCGUCGGGAGUGAAAACUCAGGGCUUAACCCUGAGCCUGCUUCCGAUACGGGCAGACUAGAGGUAUGCAGGGGAGAACGGAAUUCCUGGUGUAGCGGUGAAAUGCGCAGAUAUCAGGAGGAACACCGGUGGCGAAGGCGGUUCUCUGGGCUGACACUGACGCUCAUGCACGAAAGCGUGGGGAGCAAACAGG